This 400-nucleotide ribosomal RNA is filed under the name uncultured bacterium. RNAcentral describes it as "bacterial SSU rRNA". It matches the Rfam family "Bacterial small subunit ribosomal RNA", at positions 355 to 746 of the family's 1533-position model. The record is from RNAcentral.
UGGGGAAUCUUCCGCAAUGGGCGAAAGCCUGACGGAGCAAUGCCGCGUGAGUGAAGAAGGCCUUCGGGUCGUAAAGCUCUGUCCUUGCUGAAGAGAGGUAUGGGUGUAAAUAAUGCUCAUAUUGGACGGUAGGCGAGGAGGAAGCCCCGGCUAACUACGUGCCAGCAGCCGCGGUAAUACGUAGGGGGCGAGCGUUGUCCGGAAUCACUGGGCGUAAAGGGCGCGUAGGCGGUUUUGUAAGUCGGAGGUGAAAGAUCAGGGCUCAACCCUGAGUGUGCCACCGAUACUGCAGGACUUGAGUAUGGAAGAGGAGAAUGGAAUUCCUAGUGUAGCGGUGAAAUGCGUAGAUAUUAGGAGGAACACCAGUGGCGAAGGCGAUUCUCUGGGCCAAGACUGACGC